UACGGAGGAUGCAAGCGUUAUCCGGGAUGAUUGGGCGUAAAGCGUCCGCAGGUGGCUAUGUAAGUCUGCUGUUAAAGAGUGAGGCUCAACCUCAUAAGAGCAGUGGAAACUACAUGGCUAGAGUGCGUUCGGGGCAGAGGGAAUUCCUGGUGUAGCGGUGAAAUGCGUAGAGAUCAGGAAGAACACCGGUGGCGAAAGCGCUCUGCUAGGCCGCAACUGACACUCAUGGACGAAAGCUAGGGGAGCGAAUGGG
Molecule: ribosomal RNA, 253 nt
Filed under: uncultured bacterium
Lineage: Bacteria
Description: partial 16S ribosomal RNA
Rfam family: Bacterial small subunit ribosomal RNA
Source: RNAcentral